Molecule: ribosomal RNA, 432 nt
Filed under: uncultured bacterium
Lineage: Bacteria
Description: bacterial SSU rRNA
Rfam family: Bacterial small subunit ribosomal RNA
Source: RNAcentral
CGCGAAGAACCUUACCAAAUCUUGACAUCCUUUGACCGCUCUAGAGAUAGAGUUUUCCCCUUCGGGGGACAAAGUGACAGGUGGUGCAUGGUUGUCGUCAGCUCGUGUCGUGAGAUGUUGGGUUAAGUCCCGCAACGAGCGCAACCCUUAAGCUUAGUUGCCAUCAUUAAGUUGGGCACUCUAAGUUGACUGCCGGUGACAAACCGGAGGAAGGUGGGGAUGACGUCGAAUCAUCAUGCCCCUUAUGAUUUGGGCUACACACGUGCUACAAUGGACAAUACAAAGGGCAGCUAAACCGCGAGGUCAAGCAAAUCCCAUAAAGUUGUUCUCAGUUCGGAUUGUAGUCUGCAACUCGACUACAUGAAGCUGGAAUCGCUAGUAAUCGUAGAUCAGCAUGCUACGGUGAAUACGUUCCCGGGUCUUGUACACACC